GCCGAGAUAGCUCAGCUGGUAGAGCAAAGGACUGAAAAUCCUUGUGUCCCCGGUUCGAAUCCGGGUCUCGGCA
Molecule: transfer RNA, 73 nt
Filed under: bacterium (Candidatus Torokbacteria) CG_4_10_14_0_2_um_filter_35_8
Lineage: Bacteria
Description: tRNA-Phe
Rfam family: tRNA
About the family: Transfer RNA (tRNA) molecules are approximately 80 nucleotides in length. Their secondary structure includes four short double-helical elements and three loops (D, anti-codon, and T loops).
Source: RNAcentral